RNAcentral lists this ribosomal RNA (481 nucleotides) under uncultured bacterium. RNAcentral's name for it is "partial 16S ribosomal RNA". It matches the Rfam family "Bacterial small subunit ribosomal RNA", at positions 28 to 507 of the family's 1533-position model. The record is from RNAcentral.
GACGAACGUUGGCGGCGUGCUUAAUACAUGCAAGUCAACUGAAGCAGUGGUAGCAAUAUCGCUGUGGAGGUGGCGCACGGGUGAGUAACACGUAGGUAAUCUGCCUUCAGGUCUGGCAUAACUCCGGGAAACCGGGGCUAAUAGCAGAUGAUGCAGCGGCUCGACAUCGAGACAGUUGUUAAAGCUAUGGCGCCUGAAGAUGAGCCUGCGUCUGAUUAGCUAGUUGGCGGGGUAACGGCCCACCAAGGCAACGAUCAGUAGCUGGUCUGAGAGGAAGAUCAGCCACACUGGGACUGAGACACGGUCCAGACUCCUACGGGAGGCAGCAGUAAGGAAUAUUGCUCAAUGGGAGAAAUCCUGAAGCAGCAACGCCGCGUGAGGGACGAAGGGCUUUUGCUUGUAAACCUCUGUAGUGAGAGAAAAAAAUCCCAAUCUUUGGGACAUGAUGGUAUCUCAAAAGUAAGCCCCGGCUAACUACGUG